AUUGAACGCUGGCGGAAUGCUUUACACAUGCAAGUCGAACGGUAGAGGGGGCAACCCCCUUGAGAGUGGCGAACGGGUGAGUAAUAUAUCGGAACGUGCCCAGUCGUGGGGAUAACGUAGCGAAAGUUACGCUAAUACCGCAUACGAUCUAAGGAUGAAAGCGGGGGAUCGCAAGACCUCGCGCGAUUGGAGCGGCCGAUAUCAGAUUAGGUAGUUGGUGGGGUAAAGGCUCACCAAGCCAACGAUCUGUAGCUGGUCUGAGAGGACGACCAGCCACACUGGAACUGAGACACGGUCCAGACUCCUACGGGAGGCAGCAGUGGGGAAUUUUGGACAAUGGACGCAAGUCUGAUCCAGCCAUUCCGCGUGCAGGAUGAAGGCCCUCGGGUUGUAAACUGCUUUGUACGGAACGAAAGGUUUCUCUAAUACUAGGAGCUCAUGACGGUACCGUAAGAAUAAGCACCGGCUAACCUACGUGCCAGCAGCCGCGGUAAA
Molecule: ribosomal RNA, 495 nt
Filed under: uncultured bacterium
Lineage: Bacteria
Description: bacterial SSU rRNA
Rfam family: Bacterial small subunit ribosomal RNA
Source: RNAcentral